AGUGAACGCUGGCGGUAGGCCUAACACAUGCAAGUCGAACGGCAGCACAGUAAGAGCUUGCUCUUACGGGUGGCGAGUGGCGGACAGGUGAGGAAUACAUCGGAAUCUACUUUUUCGUGGGGGAUAACGUAGGGAAACUUACGCUAAUACCGCAUACGACCUACGGGUGAAAGCAGGGGAUCUUCGGACCUUGCGCGAUUGAAUGAGCCGAUGUCGGAUUAGCUAGUUGGCGGGGUAAAGGCCCACCAAGGCGACGAUCCGUAGCUGGUCUGAGAGGAUGAUCAGCCACACUGGAACUGAGACACGGUCCAGACUCCUACGGGAGGCAGCAGUGGGGAAUAUUGGACAAAGGGCGCAAGCCUGAUCCAGCCAUACCGCGUGGGUGAAGAAGGCCUUCGGGUUGUAAAGCCCCUUUGUUGGGAAAGAAAAGCAGCAGGUUAAUACCCCGCUGUUCUGACGGUACCCAAAGAAUAAGCACCGGCUAACUUCGUG
This 492-nucleotide ribosomal RNA is filed under the name uncultured bacterium. Its description in RNAcentral is "partial 16S ribosomal RNA". It matches the Rfam family "Bacterial small subunit ribosomal RNA", at positions 29 to 507 of the family's 1533-position model. The record is from RNAcentral.